UCCUCGGUAGCUCAGUUGGUAGAGCAAUUGGCUGUUAACCAAUCGGUCGCUGGUUCGAAUCCAGCCCGGGGAGCAU
RNAcentral lists this transfer RNA (76 nucleotides) under Ehrlichia ruminantium str. Welgevonden. Its description in RNAcentral is "tRNA-Asn". It matches the Rfam family "tRNA". Rfam says of the family: Transfer RNA (tRNA) molecules are approximately 80 nucleotides in length. Their secondary structure includes four short double-helical elements and three loops (D, anti-codon, and T loops). The record is from RNAcentral. RNAcentral also lists the same sequence under 1 other name. Lineage: Bacteria; Pseudomonadati; Pseudomonadota; Alphaproteobacteria; Rickettsiales; Anaplasmataceae.